This is a long non-coding RNA of Anopheles merus, 703 nucleotides long. RefSeq lists it as uncharacterized. The transcript has 3 exons. The record is from RefSeq and is a predicted model, not a curated record. NCBI's taxonomy places the organism in Eukaryota, Metazoa, Arthropoda, Insecta, Diptera, Culicidae.
UCUCACAAUUUUGUUUUGAUGUAUACCAGACUGGUCGGUGGAUGAAUCAGUCUGUCUGUGAAUUUUGUUAGCGCCGGAUAGAAAUUUGCUCGCUAGUCUUCGGCGGAGCCACUUGAUUUCAAUACUGUACGAAGUGCUUACAUUUAAAGAUAUAUUAUCAAGAUGAAGACUUUGAUUGCUCUGUUAAUGCGGACCGUGAUCAAUCAAUAAAUCAAACAAACUUUUUUUCAAUGGACGGGAAAAACGAAUCUAUGAAUCUAUCUCUGCCCCAUGUGUUUUGUGAUGGUCUGUUAUGUUUGACCAACAUAUCAGCGAACAUUUAUAACCUUGCAUUAAUGAUAUUUGCGUCUUAAAACCCUUGGAUAAUUGCAGCGAAUCAAGUUUAAAGACAAACUAAAAUAAACAAGAUUAAUGAUGUGUACUAAAUUGGUGCUGCUGCUCUGGAUGGUGACUAUAUCUGAACAUUUAGCCAUGAUUACUAGCAAUCCCAUCGGAGGUAACGUUUUCUACGAAGAAAAUUGCCAUCAGAAUGGGAUGCUUGUUUUGUAUCGCAUCAAAUUAGUAACUAGAUGGUCAAAAAAACUCUUUCCUAAACACUAUCCAGAAUUUCGGCCUCCUCCACAUUGGAGUAUGACGUUAGGUAGAGAGCUUGAGUCGUUUAGAACUCGUUUAGUGAUCGUUUUGUGGAUUUGUGCCACUUGGU